GAAAUGCGAUAAGUAAUGUGAAUUGCAGAAUUCAGUGAAUCAUCGAAUCUUUGAACGCACAUCGCGCCCUUUGGCAUUCCGAGGGGCAUGCCUGUUCGAGCGUCAUUACACCACUCAAGCCUGGCUUGGUAUUGGGCGACACGGCUCCCGUGCGCCUCGAUUUCGCCGGCUGGACGACCCGAUUCUCAGCGUUGCGGUAAAAAACUCGCUAGCAGAAGAGGGGCGGCCGCGCCGUUAAAACCUUCUAAGGUUGACCUCGGAUCAGGUAGGAAUACCCGCUGAACUUAA
RNAcentral lists this unclassified non-coding RNA (288 nucleotides) under uncultured fungus. Its description in RNAcentral is "sequence contains ITS1". The stretch from base 1 to 105 matches the Rfam family "5.8S ribosomal RNA", at positions 50 to 154 of the family's 154-position model. Lineage: Eukaryota; Fungi. The record is from RNAcentral.